Molecule: ribosomal RNA, 502 nt
Filed under: uncultured bacterium
Lineage: Bacteria
Description: partial 16S ribosomal RNA
Rfam family: Bacterial small subunit ribosomal RNA
Source: RNAcentral
GAUUAACGCUGGCGGCGUGCCUAACACAUGCAAGUCGAGCGGCAGCGCGUUUUACACUGAAUUCUGGAAGCUUCUAGUUGCAAGAGAAGAUUUAUUCAAGAAUUUUGUGUAAAAUGUCGGCGAGCGGCGGACGGCUGAGUAACGCGUGGGAACGUACCCCAAAGUGAGGGAUAACGCAUCGAAAGGUGUGCUAAUACCGCAUAUGGUCUUCGGAUUAAAGCCUUCGGGCGCUUUGGGAACGGCCUGCGUAAGAUUAGAUAGUUGGUGGGGUAAUGGCCUACCAAGUCGACGAUCUUUAACUGGUUUGAGAGGAUGAUCAGUCAGACUGGAACUGAGACACGGUCCAGACUCCUACGGGAGGCAGCAGUGAGGAAUCUUCCACAAUGGGCGAAAGCCUGAUGGAGCAACGCCGCGUGCAGGAUGAAGGCCUUCGGGUUGUAAACUGCUUUUAUAAGUGAGGAUUAUGACAGUAACUUAUGAAUAAGGAUCGGCUAACUACGUG